GAGCUGUGGGACACCUGAGCAACCCGUGCCAGCUCUCUGCCAUCCUUCUCUGCAGGCCUGAGACUCCUGAGGUCAGAGGCCAUAGCAGGAUCCCAAGGGGUGCAGCCUGGAGCUUGGGCAGCAGCUUGACUCUAGGCAGCAGCUCUGGGCCCAGCCCAGGACCCAGCCCUGGGUCUGGCCACAGCCCCACAGCCAGGGUCAGCCUGCACUGCUGCCUGGAGCCCAGCUCAACAGUACAGACACCCCAGAGCCCUGCACAACUGUCCCAUUGCUAACCUGUGACCCCCUCCACCCGCCCUCCAGGAGUCACCAACCCCAAGUUCCCUGGCUGCCUCUCCUUUGACCAGGGAACUUUAGGGUCGCCCAACUGUCCCCUCACUCACCUAUGACCCUUAACCAACCCUGCUUCCCCCAGGGCCCUUCCCUGCACUCCGACUUCAGCCUCUAGGACUCAGCCUCCCUGCUGGAGACCCAGAGCUCUGCGGAACAGUUUGAGGAAGCUCUCAGCCAAGAUUCCAGCCCUGCAGGGGCUGCAGCGGCACACACACAGGGUUAUUCUGCUGGAGCCCCAGCUCUGCACCCGGUACUGAGCUGACUAGAGGAGGUCUCUUCUCCAGCCUGCAGAAGAUGGACCUGCUGGAGGAGAUCAUAGCAGAGCUACAAAAAGGAUGUCAGCUUGGAGAAAAGCCCAGCCUGAGCCCCACUCCUGACCUAGACUCCCAGGGUGCCCAUGGUUCCCUCUCUGCAGAUACCACCUCUCAGAGGCUCCCAGGAGUAACUCCUGCCUUGGUGCCUCCCCAAAAGGAAAUAGAAUGAUAAAGUGCCCCCUCUGUCUGUCUUCACUCACUGAGUUUGGCCCCAGCGCGACUUCAGCAGCCACAUUUUCACCAUUUUAUUCAUUAAUGUUGUCAGAUGGUUUAGUGGGGCAUGUGGGGAAAGAAGGGUAGGAGUUGUCCCCCCAUCCCCGUGCACAGGUCAGGACAUGCUGGGGGCUCCUGGAGGGAGAGGAGGAUAGGGUCAGCCUAGCCCCUCCCACCCCAGAUUUGUGCGAGGGCCCCCAGGAUGGAGGGUGGUGGGGGGAUGGGCAGACCCUUCAGUCCAGGGUAGGGAAGCUGAGAUUAUAGGUUAGGGACCCACAUCAGAAGCAAGUUACAAAGUUAGAAACCUGGGGUAGUGGUCGGGGUUCAAGAAAAUACAAAACAAGGGAUUUGGUUGGGCCAAGAUCCAGUGAGGGUGAAGGGAAGGAAGGACGG
Molecule: long non-coding RNA, 1253 nt
Organism: Gorilla gorilla gorilla (western lowland gorilla)
Lineage: Eukaryota; Metazoa; Chordata; Mammalia; Primates; Hominidae
Exons: 3
Source: RefSeq, a predicted model, not a curated record